This 464-nucleotide long non-coding RNA is filed under the name Vitis vinifera (wine grape). RNAcentral's name for it is "long non-coding RNA (VVIN_LNC001450)". The record is from RNAcentral. Lineage: Eukaryota; Viridiplantae; Streptophyta; Magnoliopsida; Vitales; Vitaceae.
UAGAUUUCUUCAAUUAUUUGCCCUCCACUUAAGGCAUUAUGCUAAAGUUGAAAUAAAAUAGCUAAUGCUAUUAGUAAAAAGACUUUCUUUUGGAAAACAACCACUAUGAUUAAAUUCGAGGAACUAAAGUUGUCAAUCAUAGCCUUGGUAAUCUCUUAAGAUGUCUAGUGCAAGACUAACUGAAAAGUUGGAGCAUUUUACCACAAGCUGAAUUUGCUUCUAAUAGUGCUACUAACAUCACUACCAUGGAUAUACUCCUUUGAGGUUGCAAUUCACUUAAAUCCUAAACAACCUGUUGAUCUUGUACCAUUGCCUAAGCUCAUUUCGCAUCAACAAGGAAGGUGGUUCUUUUGCCCAACAUAUCCAUAAUAUAUAUGAAGAGGUGUGAGAAAAUAUUAAGACUAGCAAUGAAAACUAGAAAGAGGUAGCAGAUGUGCAUUGAAGGUUUGUUUAGUUUAAAGAAG